UACGGAGGGUGCAAGCGUUGCUCGGAAUCACUGGGCGUAAAGGGCGUGUAGGCGGUCUCGUAUGUCUGACGUGAAAGCCCCGGGCUCAACCCGGGAAGUGCGUUGGAAACUGCGAGACUAGAGUCUCGGAGAGGAAGGUGGAAUUCCAGGUGUAGCGGUGAAAUGCGUAGAUAUCUGGAAGAACACCGGUGGCGAAGGCGGCCUUCUGGACGAUGACUGACGCUGAGACGCGAAAGCGUGGGGAGCAAACAGG
Molecule: ribosomal RNA, 253 nt
Filed under: uncultured bacterium
Lineage: Bacteria
Description: partial 16S ribosomal RNA
Rfam family: Bacterial small subunit ribosomal RNA
Source: RNAcentral